UACGUAGGGGGCAAGCGUUAUCCGGAUUUACUGGGUGUAAAGGGAGCGUAGGCGGUGCAGCAAGUCAGAAGUGAAAGCCCGGGGCUCAACUCCGGGACUGCUUUUGAAACUGUUGAACUAGAUUGCAGGAGAGGUAAGUGGAAUUCCAUGUGUAGCGGUGAAAUGCGUAGAUAUAUGGAGGAACACCGGUGGCGAAAGCGGCUCUCUGGCCUGUAACUGACACUGAGGCUCGAAAGCGUGGGGAGCAAACAAG
RNAcentral lists this ribosomal RNA (253 nucleotides) under uncultured bacterium. RNAcentral's name for it is "partial 16S ribosomal RNA". It matches the Rfam family "Bacterial small subunit ribosomal RNA", at positions 524 to 776 of the family's 1533-position model. The record is from RNAcentral.